This 269-nucleotide unclassified non-coding RNA is filed under the name Hevea brasiliensis (rubber tree). Lineage: Eukaryota; Viridiplantae; Streptophyta; Magnoliopsida; Malpighiales; Euphorbiaceae. The record is from RNAcentral.
UAGCAGUUGCACUGCACUUUUGCUGGAUACACAAUCAUUCCUUGAUAAAUGGAAUCAUACCCAGGUGCUCAGUCCUGGAAUUCUUCCUUGAAAGGACUUGGGUGUGGAAAACAUUCUGCUAUAUUUCGAAUUGUUAAGAUCAAAGCAUCUACUGGGUUCAUCUGUAACUAGGUGUUGGAAACAUGAUGCUUGGUUGUUAAACAUUACAAGAGAAGGGAGAGUGACAAUUCUAGAACCAGGAUUUAGAUUUGAGCAAUAGAACAGUUGUC